RNAcentral lists this unclassified non-coding RNA (212 nucleotides) under Hevea brasiliensis (rubber tree). The record is from RNAcentral. Lineage: Eukaryota; Viridiplantae; Streptophyta; Magnoliopsida; Malpighiales; Euphorbiaceae.
GGAAAUUUCACUAUUAAUUUUUUUCCAGUCAUCUCUCAACUUUGAAGUUUGUUAUACUUUUGUCCCUUAUUUUAAUUUUGUUACUAUAAAGUCUCUUAAUUUAAAAAAAAUGUUACAUAAAAGUCACUUAUGGCAGAAUUUUUUAUAUCUUAAUCAAUCUAAUACGUGACAGUACUACGUUAUAAAAUAAAAAAAAAAAUUAAAGAAAUUAA